This 403-nucleotide ribosomal RNA is filed under the name uncultured bacterium. Its description in RNAcentral is "partial 16S ribosomal RNA". It matches the Rfam family "Bacterial small subunit ribosomal RNA", at positions 30 to 526 of the family's 1533-position model. The record is from RNAcentral.
AUUGAACGCUGGCGGCAGGCCUAACACAUGCAAGUCGAGCGAGCGGCGGACGGGUGAGGAAUGUAUGGGGACUGCCCGAAAGCGGGGGAUAACUACUGGAAACGAUAGCUAAUACCGCAUACUAUCGGAUAACCCAUAUGGGAUUAGCUAGUUGGUGAGGGAAUGGCUCACCAGGGCGACGAUCCCUAGCUGGGCUGAUAGGAUGAUCAGCCACACUGGGACUGAGACACGGCCAAGACUCCUACGGAGGCAGCAGUGGGGAAUCUUGCACAAUGGGCGCAAGCCUGAUGGAGCCAUGCCGCGUGUAUGAAGAAGGCCCUAGGGUUGUAAAGUACUUUCAGUCGGGAGGCGUUACCGACAGAGGAAGCACCGGCUAACUCCGUGCCAGCAGCCGCGGUAAUUC